AUGGAGGCAGUCAGCGCCCCCCACUCCCACCGCCUCACUCCAUCCCUGAGCAGAGGUGGGAGGGGGGAGCACAGGUACCCCAAGUUCAACCCCGGUAGCCAGGCCAGCCCUGUCCCUCGGGUUAAGUCUACUCUUCCAGAAGCCAGGGAGCCGCCGGCCACUGAAGGGGAGCCCGUGCGCCCUUCACCCGCGGGGGCCCCCUUUGGCCCACCCGCCUGGGACCCAACAGGAGCCCCCGCGAGUCCGAGAACCGGACAGCCCAGGCCUCGCCCCUCCGCGUGGGGAGCUCACUUCCCGGGGCGGAUCCGGGAGCGCCCGGCCCCCUGCGCCUUCGCACCCAAGGGCACCACGUGCUUCGCGCAUCCUCUGGCUGCCAGGCGGGACCGCGGGGCUCGGCAGGUGCCAGCACCUGGGGCUGCGGACCUGCCGGCGCCCCCCGCAGGUGACUCUCCGGGGCGUGGGGGCAUCUCUGCGGGAGCUCCCGUUGCCAUGGUUACCGCCUGGGAGGUGCGCAGCCGCCGCGCGGGGAGCUGGGGCGCGGGCACCGCGGACACCCCACCCCGUACGCGCAUCACUUCCCAUCCCAGCCACAGCCACACGCGUACACCCCUAAACCCACUCGGGGCGGACACCCGGAGAUGCGCUGUCGGAUCGCCCCCCAGCUCGAGUCCGCGCACGCGCAGCAGGCUGUGGCUCCCUCCCCUUGGUGACCCUCUCCGCAGACCCACCUCGUGGGGUCGCUUCAGAGAAGGGGUGGCCUCCUGGGCACGCACCCCUCGACCGGAAGGUCACCCCGCUGCCCCCGGGCACCCCCCGCCGUCAACCCCACCGGGAGCGCCCAGACACCUGCAUCCGCAGGGGACCCCGCGCAGGGGCUCUGUGGACAAAGUGGCUUGGAGGCCACUGACCUAAUUCCACUUCCUUUUUGGACCCAAGAAUCGGAGAGCGUGUUGGUGACAAGCAAACCACCAAGGAGUACAGAGAGGACACUUGCCUGGAAAUGCAAGUCCAAACCACCACAAGACGCCACUUCACACCCAAAGGAGGGCUCUCAUAAUACAGUAAGAGAAAGAAAAGGGACAGGGGCCUCUGCAGACGUGAGUGGUCCCACGCACAGCCAGCGGGCCUGGAGAAGGCGCAGUCACUUGGACAGCAGGCCGGUGCUUCCUCAGCAGGGGACAUAUGCAGGUGCCUGUGACCCAGCGAUUCCACGGCUGGUGCGCACCCCGAGAAUGCAUGUCCAUAGCAGCAUUCUUGACAAUUGCCAAAAGGUGGAAACAGUCCAAAUAUACAUGCAUCAACAGAAGCAGGGGUCACCAAAAUGCGGUGCACCCCAUGGUGGGACAUGAUGCAACUUGGAAAAGAGGGAAACACACCCCCCCACGCUGCGUGGCUGGGCCUCAAAACGUGCUGAAUAAGAGAAAGCAGCCACAAAAGGCCACACAUCAUAGGAUUCCUUUUUAUGGGGCAUGUCGAGAGUAGACAAAUCCUGGGGGGCAGGAAGCAUUGGAUGGUUGUGGGGCUGGGGGGGGAGNNNNNNNNNNNNNNNNNNNNNNNNNNNNNGGGGUUCAAUGGCUGCCCAGUGAGUAUAGGCUCCCUCAUGCAGAGAUGAAAAUGUUCAGAGCGGGAGAGUAGUGACGCUUGUACAACAUCGUGAAUUCAGUACUAAAUGCUACUGAAUUAUAUGCUGGAAAGACUUAAAAUGGUAAAUUUUAUGUUAUGUGUAUUUUAGCACAAUUUUUGAAAAAACAGAUUCCGGGAUCCCACCAAAAAACAAAACAAAAAGCAAGGAGGCUGCAUAGCGGUUGUGUUUCAGGCCAGGAAGCCUCACCAGCAACUCAGUCUGCUUAGCUGGCUUCCCCAGAGCUGCCCUGCUCCUCCGUCGGCUAAUAAACAUGCUAAUGAGGGACCCA
This 1913-nucleotide long non-coding RNA is filed under the name Vulpes vulpes (red fox). Its description in RNAcentral is "lncRNA (ENSVVUG00000017902.1)". The record is from RNAcentral. Lineage: Eukaryota; Metazoa; Chordata; Mammalia; Carnivora; Canidae.